Molecule: non-coding RNA, 201 nt
Filed under: Rhodovulum sp.
Lineage: Bacteria; Pseudomonadati; Pseudomonadota; Alphaproteobacteria; Rhodobacterales; Paracoccaceae
Source: RNAcentral
UAAUCACGGGGCCACUUCGGUUCUGCCCCUUCGGGGCGGAUGAAAAGGGAACGCGGUGAUGCCUUCGGGCCAAUCCGCGGCUGCCCCCGCAACUGUAGGCGGAGAGCGAGGCUGACAAUGCCACUGGGGCCGAUGCCCCCGGGAAGGCCAGCCGAGCCCAGACCCGCGAGCCAGGAGACCUGCCGAGGUGAUCACCCUUUC